UCUGGGAUUAGAUACCCCACYAUAGUUUUUYUAAAGAGGGGACUACGAUUACUUAAAAGAUUAAAACCCAAAGAAUUUGGCGGCGUUCCACCCCUAACCAGAGGAGUUUGUACUAUAAACGAUAUUCCGCGAGACAAACCUACCACUCUUAGCCUAUCAGUUUGUAUACCAUCGUCGUCAGCUAACCUUAAAAAAGACGUUAGCAAAAAGUUUUAAUAAACCUAACUUCAGAUCAAGGUGCAACUCAUAGAGUGGAAAGUAUGAACUACAAAGGUUUUAACAAAAGCAGAUAAAGAAUGAAAAAUCUUUAAUAAGGAGAAUUUGGAAGUAAUCUUUCUAAAGAAUAAGAAGAUGAAAGUAGAAACUGGAACGUGCACACACCGCCCGUCACCCUCCUCAA
RNAcentral lists this ribosomal RNA (400 nucleotides) under Sigmodota contorta. RNAcentral's name for it is "partial 12S ribosomal RNA". The record is from RNAcentral. Lineage: Eukaryota; Metazoa; Echinodermata; Holothuroidea; Apodida; Chiridotidae.